UUGAUCAUGGCUCAGGAUUAACGCUAGCGGCAGGCCUAAUACAUGCAAGUUGAACGGGAUUUCGGGUAGCAAUAUCUGAAUGAGAGUGGCGCACGGGUGCGUAACACGUAUGCAAUCUACCUCUGACUGGGGAAUAGCCUUCCGAAAGGAAGAUUAAUACCGCAUAAUAUAAUGAAGUGGCAUCACUUUAUUAUCAAAACUCCGGUGGUUAGAGAUGAGCAUGCGUUCGAUUAGCUAGUUGGUGAGGUAACGGCUCACCCAGGCAACGAUCGAUAGGGGGUCUGAGAGGAUGGUCCCCCACACUGGUACUGAGACACGGACCAGACUCCUACGGGAGGCAGCAGUAAGGAAUAUUGGACAAUGGUCGCAAGACUGAUCCAGCCAUGCCGCGUGAAGGAUUAAGGCCCUAUGGGUUGUAAACUUCUUUUAAACGGGAAAAAACCCUUCUACGUGUAGGAGGCUGAUGGUACCGUAAGAAUAAGGAUCGGCUAACUUCGUGCCAGCAGCCGCGGUAAUACGAAGGAUUCGAGCGUUAUCCGG
RNAcentral lists this ribosomal RNA (540 nucleotides) under uncultured soil bacterium. RNAcentral describes it as "bacterial SSU rRNA". It matches the Rfam family "Bacterial small subunit ribosomal RNA", at positions 13 to 548 of the family's 1533-position model. The record is from RNAcentral.